Molecule: ribosomal RNA, 479 nt
Filed under: uncultured bacterium
Lineage: Bacteria
Description: partial 16S ribosomal RNA
Rfam family: Bacterial small subunit ribosomal RNA
Source: RNAcentral
GAUGAACGCUAGCGGGAGGCCUAACACAUGCAAGCCGAGCGGUAUUUGUUCUUCGGAACAGAGAGAGCGGCGCACGGGUGCGGAACACGUGUGCAACCUGCCUUUAUCUGGGGGAUAGCCUUUCGAAAGGAAGAUUAAUACCCCAUAAUAUAUUGAGUGGCAUCACUUGAUAUUGAAAACUCCGGUGGAUAGAGAUGGGCACGCGCAAGAUUAGAUAGUUGGUGAGGUAACGGCUCACCAAGUCAAUGAUCUUUAGGGGGCCUGAGAGGGUGAUCCCCCACACUGGUACUGAGACACGGACCAGACUCCUACGGGAGGCAGCAGUGAGGAAUAUUGGACAAUGGGUUAGCGCCUGAUCCAGCCAUCCCGCGUGAAGGACGACGGCCCUAUGGGUUGUAAACUUCUUUUGUAUAGGGAUAAACCUACUCUCGUGAGAGUAGCUGAAGGUACUAUACGAAUAAGCACCGGCUAACUACGUG